UUAGUACUAGCAGCUAGUUAGUUAGUGUGUUCUGUUCUUAGUACUAGGGAGACGUACAGAGGUGUGUGUUCUGUUCUUAGUACUAGGGAGACGUACAGAGGUGUGUGUUCUGUUCUUAGUACUAGGGAGACGUACAGAGGUGUGUGUUCUGUUCUUAGUACUAGGGAGACGUACAGAGGUGUGUGUUCUGUUCUUAGUACUAGGGAGACGUACAGAGGUGUGUGUUCUGUUCUUAGUACUAGGGAGACGUACAGAGGUGUGUGUUCUGUUCUUAGUACUAGGGAGACGUACAGAGGUGUCUGUUCUUAGUACUAGCAGCUAGUUAGUUAGUGUGUUCUGUUCUUAGUACUAGCAGCUAGUUAGUGUGUUCUGUUCUUAGUACUAGGGAGACGUACAGAGGUGUGUGUUCUGUUCUUAGUACUAGGGAGACGUACAGAGGUGUGUGUUCUGUUCUUAGUACUAGGGAGACGUACAGAGGUGUGUGUUCUGUUCUUAGUACUAGGGAGACGUACAGAGGUGUGUGUUCUGUUCUUAGUACUAGCAGCUAGUUAGUGUGUUCUGUUCUUAGUACUAGCAGCUAGUUAGUUAGUGUGUUCUGUUCUUAGUACUAGCAGCUAGUUAGUGUGUUCUGUUCUUAGUACUAGGGAGACGUACAGAGGUGUGUGUUCUGUUCUUAGUACUAGCAGCUAGUUAGUGUGUUCUGUUCUUAGUACUAGCAGCUAGUUAGUUAGUGUGUUCUGUUCUUAGUACUAGCAGCUAGUUAGUGUGUUCUGUUCUUAGUACUAGGGAGACGUACAGAGGUGUGUGUUCUGUUCUUAGUACUAGGGAGACGUACAGAGGUGUGUGUUCUGUUCUUAGUACUAGGGAGACGUACAGAGGUGUGUGUUCUGUUCUUAGUACUAGGGAGACGUACAGAGGUGUGUGUUCUGUUCUUAGUACUAGGGAGACGUACAGAGGUGUGUGUUCUGUUCUUAGUACUAGGGAGACGUACAGAGGUGUGUGUUCUGUUCUUAGUACUAGCAGCUAGUUAGUGUGUUCUGUUCUUAGUACUAGGGAGACGUACA
This is a long non-coding RNA of Oncorhynchus keta (chum salmon), 1064 nucleotides long. RefSeq lists it as uncharacterized. The record is from RefSeq and is a predicted model, not a curated record. NCBI's taxonomy places the organism in Eukaryota, Metazoa, Chordata, Actinopteri, Salmoniformes, Salmonidae. The transcript has 4 exons.